GACGAACGCUGGCGGCGUGCCUAAUACAUGCAAGUCGAACGCAGUGGGGACGGGUGAGUAAAACGUGGGCAACCUCCCAUCAGAGGGGAUAACACUUGGAAACAGGUGCUAAGCCGAUACCGAUGGAUGGACCCGCGGUGCAUUAGCUAGUUGGGGGGGUAAAGGCGCACCAAGGCAACGAGGCGUAGCGGAUCUGAGAGGGCGACCGGCCACACUGGGACUGAGACACGGCCCAGACUCCUACGGGAGGCAGCAGUAGGGAAUUUUCGGCAAUGGGCGAAACCCUGAUCGAGCCACGCCGCGUGAGUGAAGAAGGUUUUCGGGUCGUAAAGCUCUGUUGGUAGAGAAGCGGUAUCUAAACAGAAAGCCACGGCUAACUACGUGCCAGCAGCCGCGGUAAUAC
This 403-nucleotide ribosomal RNA is filed under the name uncultured bacterium. Its description in RNAcentral is "partial 16S ribosomal RNA". It matches the Rfam family "Bacterial small subunit ribosomal RNA", at positions 28 to 526 of the family's 1533-position model. The record is from RNAcentral.